This 693-nucleotide ribosomal RNA is filed under the name Naegleria sp. PB77. Its description in RNAcentral is "SSU rRNA". It matches the Rfam family "Eukaryotic small subunit ribosomal RNA", at positions 630 to 1245 of the family's 1831-position model. The record is from RNAcentral. Lineage: Eukaryota; Heterolobosea; Eutetramitea; Acrasida; Naegleriidae.
GUAGUAUACCUAAGAGUGGGUGUGUAGCAAUUAGUUUUACCAGAGGACGGUUGGCGAGAGUUUAUCACUCUUGUUUGCCUACUUUUGGUAGACUUUAGUCGGGCUGGACCUUUGGUCCUCGUCUGACAGUUGCUACGUGCUUACUUACCACGGUUCAUCCGUGAGGCCCUUGGCUUGCAACUGUAAAUAAAUCGUUGUGCUUAAAGCGGGCUAUGAUACUCUGCCAGAGCGAUUUAGCAUGGGACUGCAGAGUAGCUGUAUUUGGAUGAAGGUUGUGUUUCGGCAUGGCUGGAGUCUGGUACAGCGCUUGUAAUGGAGCUCAGGGUGAGGCCCCGGGUACCAUGAGGCUAGAGGUGAAAUUCUGAGACCCUCAUGUGACCAACUAAGGCGAAAGCUGUCGUGGGCCACCACAAGCUCGUCUAUCAGGGACGAAAGUUGGGGGAUCGAAGACGAUUAGAUACCGUCGUAGUCCCAACUAUAAACGAUACCAACCGAGUAUUUGGGAAGACACUAUCCCAGCGAUCUUCUCAGAACUCAAGGGAAACCUUAAGUCUUUGGGUUCUGGGGGGAGUAUAGUCGCAAGACCGAAACUUAAAGGAAUUGACGGAAAGGCACCACCAGGAGUGGAGUCUGCGGCUUAAUUCGACUCAACACGGGGAAACUCACCAGGUCAGGACACAAGUUUGAUUGACA